Molecule: long non-coding RNA, 1695 nt
Filed under: Mytilus galloprovincialis (Mediterranean mussel)
Lineage: Eukaryota; Metazoa; Mollusca; Bivalvia; Mytilida; Mytilidae
Source: RNAcentral
UAAGACGCUUGCACCAUUCUAAAAAUUUGUUGAAUAUGACAUAGGUUAUAUGACUAAUUACAUCAGAGAGUUCACAUAUAUGCUUUAAAUAAAAAUAAUAAUGUGCGAUGUGAACUAGCACAAUUUUAAAGCUUUAACGGUGUCGAUAUUAUGAUGUUACAAGAAAGAUUGCGUCAAUAAGAAUUCCAAAUAAACAGCACUGAACGGUCUAAAUUUCUAAAUAUUUCAGAUUUGACAACUGUAGUGUAGUUAGAUUAGAGUCUGCGAUGUUUAAAACAAACGGCCGUUAAAAUAUAAUAACAAAUUUUGACUAAAGUAAAAUAGUUGGACGUGGCUUGGUACUUAUACAUCCCUCAAAAAAUUAAGCAAUUUAAAUUGUUAUAUUCAACAGAUUUAUUUUAGAGAUGAGUAAGGUAAAGAAAUAGAAACGGAGACUGUAAUAAUAAGUAAUAUAACCCAGAUGUGAAGCACUGCAUGGUGUCGAACUACAUCUUUUCAUUUAUCCCAUUUGGUGCCAAAGUUGUUAAUUUUCUAAUCCAAAAUCUUUCCCGAGUAAGUCUAUCCUCCCUAGACCAAGCAGAGUUGUGGUCAAUGAUAGUAAUGGUCAGUCGAUUGAGAUCUGCCUUAGUGUGGCCAGGGGAUCUCAAAUGUCGACUAAGAGGGAGGUCUGGCUUGCAUUGGUAGUCGCUACGAUGACCGUUCAUUCGUUUGUGAAACGGCUGUUCUGACUCGCCUACAUACUGUUUACCACAUUUACACUGUAGGAGAUACACAACAUUUGUAGUCUUGCAAUUAACAUUGCAAAAUAUGGUGUAUUCUGUACCAGUGGAGUGACUGUUAAAAGUCUGGGUAUCCAGUAUUUGUUUGCAAGUCAGACAUCGUUUGUUUCCACAACCCUUACAAGAGCCCACUGACGAAGAGCCUGCUUGAGAGGAUAACUCAGCUCUCACCAGCAAGUCUUUAAGGCUUUUGGGCCUGCGGAAAGCCAGUACAGGUGGCUCGGGAAAGAUCUUGGAUAGUUUAGGAUGUUUUUCGAUAUCUUUCCAACUUUCGCGGAUAAGGUGAGACAAGUUGUCAAAUUUUGGAUUGUAAGUCAACACAAAAGGCACCCUCCUGUUGACCUUUUUGACUUUAUAUUGUAAAAGUUCAUCUCGGCUGAUGUUGCUAGCACGAGAAAAACCUUUAUCAAUGUCUUUCCUUUUGUAGCCUCGAUGUUUUAGGUGACCGCGAAGUUCUUGUAGUCGUUUUUUGGCAACAUCGUUGGUGGAGCAAAUCCUUUUUAUUCGUAUGGCCUGGCUGUAGGGAAUGCUCUUGGUGCAAUGUUUAGGGUGACAACUUGAAGGAGACAGAUAUUGAUGUUUGUCUGUGGGCUUGCAAUACAGAUCUGUAAAUAUGUUUCCAUCCCUCACUUGCGUUGUAGUGUCAAGAAAUGUGAUCUUAGAGUCAGAGAUUUCAUAUGUGAAUUUUAUUGAGGGAUGGGCAUCGUUGGCAUGUUGAAUAAACAAAUCUAGUUCUUGUUCAGUAUUAUCCCACUUCAUGUCAAUAUCGUCAAUAAAUCGGAACCAAGAGAGGGGUUGAUAAAGAAAAGAAUUGAGAAUUCUCUGUUCUAAUUUCCCCAUAAAAAUAUUGGCAUAAGACGGGGCCAUCUUUGUUCCCAUUGCUGUUCCAUUAACUUGGAGAAAGUGUUCACCAUUG